UUGACCUCAAAUCAGGYAGGACUACCCGCUGAACUUAAGCAUAUCAA
Molecule: ribosomal RNA, 47 nt
Filed under: Inocybe aff. lasseroides TJB10466
Lineage: Eukaryota; Fungi; Basidiomycota; Agaricomycetes; Agaricales; Inocybaceae
Description: partial large subunit ribosomal RNA
Source: RNAcentral